RNAcentral lists this long non-coding RNA (275 nucleotides) under Solanum lycopersicum (tomato). Its description in RNAcentral is "partial TCONS_00032785". The record is from RNAcentral. Lineage: Eukaryota; Viridiplantae; Streptophyta; Magnoliopsida; Solanales; Solanaceae.
AAGAGCUCACUGGUCCCUGCUUUUUGAGCAAGCCAACAAAACAUUCACAAAAUCAGAAAAGAUGAAACAUAUUUUCUCUAUUCUCUUACAUUACACAAACCUUCAUGAAAGUCUGUCCAAUUGGGUGUCUUCAUUCAAAUUACUACAAAUCACAAACUCGUAUAAUUAAACUACUUAAUUUUUGUUUUAACAAAAUCAGAAAAGAUGAACCAUAUAUUCUCUAUUCUCUUGCAUUACACAAACCUUUCUGAAAGUCUGUCCAAUUGAGUGUCUUC